This 484-nucleotide ribosomal RNA is filed under the name uncultured bacterium. RNAcentral's name for it is "partial 16S ribosomal RNA". It matches the Rfam family "Bacterial small subunit ribosomal RNA", at positions 30 to 507 of the family's 1533-position model. The record is from RNAcentral.
AUUGAACGCUGGCGGCAGGCCUAACACAUGCAAGUCGAGCGGAUGAAGGGAGCUUGCUCCUGGAUUCAGCGGCGGACGGGUGAGUAAUGCCUAGGAAUCUGCCUGGUAGUGGGGGAUAACGUCCGGAAACGGGCGCUAAUACUGCAUACGUCCUGAGGGAGAAAGUGGGGGAUCUUCGGACCUCACGCUAUCAGAUGAGCCUAGGUCGGAUUAGCUAGUUGGUGGGGUAAAGGCCUACCAAGGCGACGAUCCGUAACUGGUCUGAGAGGAUGAUCAGUCACACUGGAACUGAGACACGGUCCAGACUCCUACGGGAGGCAGCGGUGGGGAAUAUUGGACAAUGGGCGAAAGCCUGAUCCAGCCAUGCCGCGUGUGUGAAGAAGGUCUUCGGAUUGUAAAGCACUUUAAGUUGGGAGGAAGGGCAGUAAGUUAAUACCUUGCUGUUUUGACGUUACCAACAGAAUAAGCACCGGCUAACUUCGUG